Molecule: non-coding RNA, 73 nt
Organism: Strongylocentrotus purpuratus (purple sea urchin)
Lineage: Eukaryota; Metazoa; Echinodermata; Echinoidea; Camarodonta; Strongylocentrotidae
Source: Rfam
GGAAUGGUAUCUCAUUGGUUAGAGUGCCCGCCUCAUGAACGGGAGGUCGUGGGUUCGAACCCCGGCCGAGUCA